Molecule: transfer RNA, 65 nt
Filed under: Marmota monax (woodchuck)
Lineage: Eukaryota; Metazoa; Chordata; Mammalia; Rodentia; Sciuridae
Description: tRNA.Val
Source: RNAcentral
GGUUGUGGCUCAGUGGUAGAGCACUUGCCUAACGUGUGAGACACUAGGUUCGAGUCUCAGCACCA